Schistocerca americana (American grasshopper) is the source of this 556-nucleotide long non-coding RNA. RefSeq lists it as uncharacterized. The transcript has 3 exons. The record is from RefSeq and is a predicted model, not a curated record. Lineage: Eukaryota; Metazoa; Arthropoda; Insecta; Orthoptera; Acrididae.
GUGGGGACUCGCUCGCUCACUCACUCUUCUGCAAGCAUGUUUCAGAACCAACAAAUUGCUGUCUUGCUGACGACGGUACAACAACUUCUGGCAGCACAAGCAACGGUGGCCGCACAACAGACCGACUGACACGCCCAAGUGCUGCAGCCCAGCGUGCCUAUGUUCCAUCAACUUAACAACACAGAACAAGAAUGGCAUGAAUACCUGACACAGUUCCAUGUGCAUUGUGCAGUUCACUGCAUCCAAGAUAUUGCACAAUGCAGGCUCCCCAGUGUCCAGAUUCAAAAAAGCAAGAAGCGGGAUAAAAGAAAGCAAGUUUCUCUGCUUAAGUUUCUUCAAGGCAAAAGAUGAAAAAGUGAUAGGGUGGAGGCCAAGUUAAUCAAAAAUAGUGGUGGUGAUAGCUGUCCUUACUGGUAGCAGAUGGGUAAUGGUGUACAUAGUUCCAGGUCAUGUGGUAAUCAUGGUAUUAAUGAUUGUGAGAGCAAUAAGGAGAGAUUGCUAUUGCCUCAGAAGUGAAUUAUAGAUGACAAUGACAUUGUGCUACUGAAACAAACUC